RNAcentral lists this ribosomal RNA (253 nucleotides) under uncultured bacterium. RNAcentral's name for it is "partial 16S ribosomal RNA". It matches the Rfam family "Bacterial small subunit ribosomal RNA", at positions 524 to 776 of the family's 1533-position model. The record is from RNAcentral.
UACGUAGGCAGCAAGCGUUGUUCGGAGUUACUGGGCGUAAAGAGUAUGUAGGCGGUUGGGUAAGUUUGGUGUGAAAUCUCCCGGCUUAACUGGGAGGGUGCGCUAAAGACUGCCUGGCUCGAGUGUGGGAGAGGAAAGCGGAAUUCCUGGUGUAGCGGUGAAAUGCGUAGAUAUCAGGAGGAACACCUGCGGUGUAGACGGCUUUCUGGACCAUAACUGACGCUGAGAUACGAAAGCGUGGGUAGCGAACAGG